ACCUAUUCUCAAACUCCAAAUAGAUGAGAACCCCGGCUUUCUUGAUUCUUUCUUGAAGCCGUGGGAUUCGGAUCAGAGUGCCAAGUGGGCCAAUUUUGGUAAGCAGAACUGGCGCUGUGGGAUGAACCAAACGUCGAGUUAAGGCGCCUCAAUCGACGCUCAUGUGAAACCAUGAAAGGCGUUGGUUGCUUAAGACAGCAGGACGGUGGCCAUGGAAGUCGGAAUCCGCUAAGGAGUGUGUAACAACUCACCUGCCGAAGCAACUAGCCCUGAAAAUGGAUGGCGCUGUAGCGUCGUGCCUAUACUCGACCGUCAACGGCAAAGCAAAAACCGCUCCGCAAGGGGUGGGCUGUUACGCCUUGACGAGUAGGAGGGCCGCGGCGACGUGCGUAGAAGGGUCUGGGCGUGAGCCUGCCUGGAGCCGUCGUCGGUGCAGAUCUUGGUGGUAGUAGCAAAUACUCCAGCGAGGCCCUGGAGGACUGAUGUGGAGAAGGGUUUCUUGUGAACAGCUGUUGCACAAGAGUCAGUCGAUCCUAAGCCCUAGGAGAAAUCCGAAGCGAUGGGUUGCCGUGAACUUUGCUCGAAGUGCUGGCACCCGUUUGGGCGAAAGGGAAUCCGGUUCCUAUUCCGGAACCUGGCAGUGGAACCGUUUCAAAUCGGGCCCUCUGAGGACUCGUCAGGGCAACCUGAAUAGACCCGGAGACGCCGUCAGGAGGUUGGGGGAGAGUUGUCUCUUCUCUAUAAGCGAUCGAGUUCCCUGGAAACUUCUAGCAAGGAGAUAGGGUUUGGAUCGCGAAGAGCACUGCAGUUACGGCAGUGUCCCAAUCUUCCUCUCGGACCUUGAAAAUCCGGGUGAGGGCCACGAGGAACCCCACGCCAGAUCGUACCCAUAUCCGCAGCAGGUCUCCAAGGUGAAAAGCCUCUAGUCGAUAGAUUAAUGUAGUAGGAAGUCA
RNAcentral lists this ribosomal RNA (953 nucleotides) under Hallodapini sp. Madagascar. RNAcentral describes it as "eukaryotic LSU rRNA". It matches the Rfam family "Eukaryotic large subunit ribosomal RNA", at positions 1050 to 1916 of the family's 3401-position model. Lineage: Eukaryota; Metazoa; Arthropoda; Insecta; Hemiptera; Miridae. The record is from RNAcentral.